RNAcentral lists this transfer RNA (72 nucleotides) under Bos taurus (domestic cattle). It matches the Rfam family "tRNA". Rfam says of the family: Transfer RNA (tRNA) molecules are approximately 80 nucleotides in length. Lineage: Eukaryota; Metazoa; Chordata; Mammalia; Artiodactyla; Bovidae. The record is from Rfam by way of RNAcentral. RNAcentral also lists the same sequence under 2 other names.
UUCCUGGUGGCUCAGAUGGUAAAGCGUCUGUCUGCAGUGCAGGAGACCUGGGUUCGAUCUCCGGGUUGGAAA